This 574-nucleotide ribosomal RNA is filed under the name Paenibacillus sp. S-4-25-10. RNAcentral describes it as "bacterial SSU rRNA". It matches the Rfam family "Bacterial small subunit ribosomal RNA", at positions 821 to 1397 of the family's 1533-position model. Lineage: Bacteria; Bacillati; Bacillota; Bacilli; Caryophanales; Paenibacillaceae. The record is from RNAcentral.
UGUAGGGGUUUGAUACCCUGGGGCCGAAGUUAACACAUUAAGCAUUCCGCCUGGGGAGUACGGUUGCAAGACUGAACUCAAAGGAAUUGACGGGGACCCGCACAAGCAGUGGAGUAUGUGGUUUAAUUUGAAGCAACGCGAAGAACCUUACCAGGUCUUGACAUCCCCCUGACCGGUACAGAGAUGUACCUUUCCUUCGGGACAGGGGAGACAGGUGGUGCAUGGUUGUCGUCAGCUCGUGUCGUGAGAUGUUGGGUUAAGUCCCGCAACGAGCGCAACCCUUGACUUUAGUUGCCAGCAGGUAAGGCUGGGCACUCUAGAGUGACUGCCGGUGACAAACCGGAGGAAGGUGGGGAUGACGUCAAAUCAUCAUGCCCCUUAUGACCUGGGCUACACACGUACUACAAUGGCUGGUACAACGGGAAGCGAAGGAGCGAUCCGGAGCGAAUCCUAAAAAGCCAGUCUCAGUUCGGAUUGCAGGCUGCAACUCGCCUGCAUGAAGUCGGAAUUGCUAGUAAUCGCGGAUCAGCAUGCCGCGGUGAAUACGUUCCCGGGUCUUGUACACACCGCCCGU